This 74-nucleotide small RNA is filed under the name Sinorhizobium meliloti 2011. RNAcentral describes it as "putative ncRNA". The record is from RNAcentral. Lineage: Bacteria; Pseudomonadati; Pseudomonadota; Alphaproteobacteria; Hyphomicrobiales; Rhizobiaceae.
AAAGGUUGGGAGAUGACGAUCUCGGCGUCGACGAGCUCCCGCUCGAAGACGCUGUCGGGACCGUCCUUGUCCGA